This is a long non-coding RNA of Melopsittacus undulatus (budgerigar), 2145 nucleotides long. NCBI's taxonomy places the organism in Eukaryota, Metazoa, Chordata, Aves, Psittaciformes, Psittaculidae. The record is from Ensembl.
UUCUGUUUGUUGAAGCUUUUUUGGUCUUGCCUAAGUAUGUGUUUGAGAAUGGUAGUGUCUCCCACAGAAAGUUGUCAGUAAAGACCAAAUAUUCCCACUUUACUGGCCAGGUGAGAACUGGAUUAGAGACUGGGACUUGCUUCAUGUUACAGAAGAAAUUUGCAGCUCCAGUGCCUUAACUCAUCCUGCCCUUACUUAAGUCUAAUUCUUAACUCCAGUUCCAUCAGGCUUUGUAGUUUAAUUCUUUCCAGAAUGAGUUUAAUUAUCAGCUGGUUUUGUUGUAGUCACGCCUGCAAUGGCUUUUAUUUAAGGCCAGUGGUAGAUAACUGAAACAUUUUGCUACAAUUGACUUUGUCUCUUAGAAAACCUUUUCAGACUUUGUACACUGAGAAAAGUCAUCCCCUGCCUCAUGAUUUUCUCUUGGCAGGUCACAUUUAACAUGAGUAUGCAUGUUCCAGUUCUCCGAUUGAAAUCUCACCCCUUCAUGUUGCAUUAAUGUAUUUGUUUAGCUUAAUAUGCAGCAUCUCUAAUUUAUUUUACCACUGAUGUUGAAUGUUUUUGCAGGUUUCUUGUCUCUUUUCAAAGCCGUCGUUGCGGAGGGGCUGAGCUGAUGUGAAUUUUUUGUCACUGCAUAUCAAAGUGGUGAUGUCUCCUUAUCAGAGCGCAGAUCAUCUGAUGGUCACAGAAACUGAUGGAGAACGGGUUAAUGCCUCGUCCAUCAGCGGCAGACAGGAUGUAUGAGGCUGUUUCUUCCCUUGGAAGAUGCACAGACCCUACAGAACAGGAUGGAAAGGCAAAGAAGGCAUCAGGGGAUGGCCUUUGACAGCGAGCUGGGAAGGGAGCUCCAGCACCGCCUCAUUGCAAACAGGAGCUGGCCUGGCACAGCACUGGAAUCCAUGCUCCUCUCUGAGCCUGCAGACAUGAAGGUGUCCCACAUCCAGGGCAGUGGAAGUCUCGGUGCUUUUAGCAGGUUGAUCCCACAUGAGCCAUCCAUCAUCCACAGAGCAUCCGUGGCCGAAUCAACAAGUGAAUCCAAAUCAUGCAGCUUCCUCCCUAUUAGAAGGUAAUUGGUGGCAUCCUGGCCUCUCAGGCACCAGACGGUUCCUCAUAAAACAUUCAGAUUGGAGUUAUCCAAAGAGGAAAAUGAGGAGGGAGGGAUUUUUCCACCUGAUGGACGUGGCAUGUAAUUAUGGCAGGCAUAUCCCGAUGCUUUGUCUGUGCUGCUCGCUGCGGCUAUGCCGAAGAAUUCCUUGAUAUUCAAGAAGUGCCCUGACCAAGUCAGGUUUCCAUAAUAUGAUUACAUUAUGAAAUUCUAUUUCACGCCUGCAUAUUAUAGCGUGCACAGCAGCACUUUCAUCACGCAUCAGAGCGUGGUUUGCUCCGCUCUGAUACCACUCACCAGAGGAUGUCUACAAAUGGAAUUAUUUCAGGAUAGUUAUCCUAAAUAACUCCGUGUAGGGAAACCUGUAUUGUAGCACAAAAGCACCUUGCUCUCCUUUAUCGUAAUCCAUUUUACAUGUGGAUUAUGCUGAUGCAGAACAGGGCACUCCUAUUUUGGAAUAGUUUUAAAUAGGAAUAGGUUUUGUGCUCUUGGCUCACACCCUGCAUUAUCCAAAACAGCUUUGAAGUGUAAACAAGCCUCUAAUGUGCCUCUAUUUCCAUUCUGCUCCCUGGCUCCUCCUUGUUCCCUGGUUCUUCCUUUGGGAAGAUCCAAAGCAAAACCAGACCUGCAGAGCCUGUCAUUUAGGUCUUUGCUUUCCCAAACUUCAUACCAAGGGACAUCACCAAUCUGAUUCCCAACUUAAAUGCAUCCCCAAGCUUCUGAAGGGAGAAUUGAGAUGCAGGUUUCUGACUCUGUGCCAUCCCCACAAAUUAAACCAGUACCUGUUUCCUUUCACACUUUUCUAACCUCCUGUGGGACAGUUUGGGUUUUUUCUGUUAUCACCAGCCUAUUCUGCAGCCUGCAGAGAAAACUGAGGGCUACGACUCUGAGAAAGGUCCAAAGCUUCAAGGCCAGGUUGGACACAGGGGCUUGGAGCAGCUGCUCCAGUGGAAGGGGUCCCUGCCUGUGGCAGUGGUUGGAGCUGGAUGAGCUCUGAGGUCCCUUAACCCAAACCAUUUGAUGAUUCUCUGCAACAGAGCAGC